ACGGUGCUGCGUCUCCCUCUGUUUCUUGCAUCAGCUGGAGAGUUCCGUUUUUCUCCCCUGUUUUGCUGUAGAUUCUAUCUUCUUUGCUGCCUCUGCCAUUACUGGUGUUUAAGGGUGUGUGGAAGAACAAGACCCUGAAAAGACUUAAAAGAAGAAUACUUUCGGGAGUUAGAACUUCAACAGAUUGGUUAGCUGACGCCGAUUCCACCAACGACCUCAAAAAGGGGCAACUAGCUACAGUGGGU
Long non-coding RNA from Prosopis cineraria, 245 nucleotides. RefSeq lists it as uncharacterized. Lineage: Eukaryota; Viridiplantae; Streptophyta; Magnoliopsida; Fabales; Fabaceae. The transcript has 3 exons. The record is from RefSeq and is a predicted model, not a curated record.